RNAcentral lists this transfer RNA (73 nucleotides) under Paramuricea clavata. It matches the Rfam family "tRNA". Rfam says of the family: Transfer RNA (tRNA) molecules are approximately 80 nucleotides in length. Their secondary structure includes four short double-helical elements and three loops (D, anti-codon, and T loops). Further hydrogen bonds mediate the characteristic L-shaped molecular structure. tRNAs have two regions of fundamental functional importance: the anti-codon, which is responsible for specific mRNA codon recognition, and the 3' end, to which the tRNAs corresponding amino acid is attached (by aminoacyl-tRNA synthetases). tRNAs cope with the degeneracy of the genetic code in two manners: having more than one tRNA (with a specific anti-codon) for a particular amino acid; and 'wobble' base-pairing, i.e. permitting non-standard base-pairing at the 3rd anti-codon position. Lineage: Eukaryota; Metazoa; Cnidaria; Anthozoa; Malacalcyonacea; Plexauridae. The record is from Rfam by way of RNAcentral.
GCCUCUGUAGCUCAGUUGGUUAGAGCGCUGCACCGGAAUCGCAGGGCCGUAGGUUCAAGUCCUACCAGAGGAC